Prosopis cineraria is the source of this 500-nucleotide long non-coding RNA. RefSeq lists it as uncharacterized. The record is from RefSeq and is a predicted model, not a curated record. Lineage: Eukaryota; Viridiplantae; Streptophyta; Magnoliopsida; Fabales; Fabaceae. The transcript is spliced from 3 exons.
UGCAACUUUUGGCCCAAAGGUUUGAAUAAUUAAAUUCAAACCUAUAGUUUUUUUUUAAUAUAAUUUGGGACUCACAAUCCCAUUUUUAUAUUAUUUUUCUCUCUUCCUCUCACGUUGCUCGACGUUUUCUCACAAGGGGUGAUUAUUUUCUUUUUCUUCAGAUUAUAUUGACAAAGAUAGUGGUGAAAAAGGAGUUGUGAAGGGGAACUUGUUAUUCAAGACACAAGGAGCGAGUCCGGCCGAGAAAGCACCAGAGGUGUAACUGUGGUGUAUGAGACACCAUCUUUUACGUUGCCUCUUAUUUUAGAUUAUACAAUGUAUCUUGUGCCAACUUAGGACAUAUCUUCUUUGUGAAGCAUGUAAACUCUAAUCCUUUUUAUUAAAAGUAUUUAUAUGACCAAGAGGAUUAUGUCUGUCCCUCUUGAUUUAUGAUCUGAUUUGAAUAACAUGCUAUGAGGAUCAUGUCUGUCCCUCAUGGUUCUAAUUGUUUUUUUUAGAUA